AGGAGCAACAGCCCCAGUGGCGGGGCCAGCUCUGGAGCCCUGGAUUCAGCUCCCCCAGUAACUCCGGAGCUCUCCGUCUGCAGGGCCUGGAGGCUCCGGGCGGGG
This 105-nucleotide microRNA precursor is filed under the name Canis lupus dingo (dingo). RNAcentral describes it as "mir-8834 microRNA precursor family". It matches the Rfam family "mir-8834 microRNA precursor family". Lineage: Eukaryota; Metazoa; Chordata; Mammalia; Carnivora; Canidae. The record is from Rfam by way of RNAcentral.